Long non-coding RNA from Dama dama (fallow deer), 1684 nucleotides. RefSeq lists it as uncharacterized. The record is from RefSeq and is a predicted model, not a curated record. The transcript is spliced from 5 exons. NCBI's taxonomy places the organism in Eukaryota, Metazoa, Chordata, Mammalia, Artiodactyla, Cervidae.
CUGAAACUUUAUUAAUAUAUACAUUAUUUACAUAUAAAUGCGGCAGGAAACGCCGCAGCAAUAUACUUAAGGAAGAGUGCACCUGCACACAAAGAGGGCAACGCUUGGGACCCAAAAGAGGCAGGGGGCAGAGGCAGGGAGCCAAGGCAGGCUGGAACCUGGAGGGGCUGUCCGGGGAGCCGGAGUGGAGGGAAACGCGGAGAAAGCAGUUACCAGCCCCCCGGGCCCAACGGCCGACCCCACGGCCGCAGCCUUCGAAUUCGACCCGCUCAUCGCUCUGCCGCCAAGAUGGCCGCCGCCUCCGCAGCCCACGUAAAAUGUAAACAAGGCAUCUUGAGAAAAUGUGUUUUCAUCUGCAGCCUAGAAGGGAUGAUGACAAGCGUGUUGACCCCUUUACUUGCAAUUCCACAUCCAGGAAUUUAGCCGAUAUGUAUUCACAAAGAUGCCGGACCAUUCUAACACUGAAAAGUUAACAGACAGUCUCAGAGUUGCCAGGCAGUCGGCCUCAAAUCAGGCCAGGCAGGUGGGGCCCAGAGCUGGUGCAGCCAAGGUAAGCAGGACAUCACAGGGCUUUUUUCUGCUGAGACAGGGAAGUUCAGUCCUCCUUCCUGCUGCCUCCCUGAGGUGACAUCCAUUGAAUCGGCGGGUUACGGCUGGGACUGCAGGCGGGCCUUGUGGUCUGGGAAACUGAGAGCUAGUAAUUUCCCUAGUACCCCAGUCACUUCUCUCCCUGGCUGAGGGCUUUUUUUUUUUUUUUUUUUAAAGCAUUCAUUUGUUACUUUUAUCCCACCUGCUUCCAAAACAGAUUCGUCCAAAGUCAUACAGCACAAGACUGGUGGGUGGACAUUCGUGUAGUCUUCUUGAGGGCAGACAUUUCAACAUUUUAAGUGCAUAUAUUGAUUUUGGUUUUUGUUUUGGCUGUACCAUAUGGCACACAGGAUCUUAGUUUCCCAACCAGGGAUCGAACCUGCAGUGCCUGCAGUGGAACCAAGGAGUCUUAACCGUAUACUGUUUGCAUAUACUGUUUUCAGUAAUUCCUUAAUGGAAUUCUAAAGGCACAUUUGCACAUGUGCAAAAUAAAUACAUAUGUAAAUAGGUGUAUGCAUGUGUGCUCAGUCACUUCAGUCAUGUCUGACUCCAUGGACUGUAUACGUACAUAUAAAUAUAUAUAAAUACAUAUAAAAUGGAAGAUAUACACCAAACAUGAUAAUUUAUAUCAUCCUCUAGGGAUUAAAGAGGUAGGGCUAAGACAGAUGAAUCUUUUUCACAUCCUGUACCCCAUAUAAAAUUUUUAAAUGUACUUUUGCACUUUGUAUCACUAAGCCUUAAAAGGUUACUUUUCUUUUUCAGAGAAAGAAUAUAAUAAACCUCCGUGUAACCAACACCAAGCUUCCUCAGUUAUCUACCCUCAAAAGGUUCCUUCUUAAAAAUAGUACAUCAUGUUUUAUGUCCCUGGACAUAUCCUGGUUUACAGUCUAUGGGAACUUGAAUACUGUAUAAAAUCUCAAUUAUGUGGAACUGGUUCAUAGUGCUUUUCAAGUCUACUAUAUCCUUCUACUUCUCUGUAUAUUCAUUCUAUUAAUUUUUGAGAGUUUGAUAUUGAAACACCAACUAAAAAUCUUAAUCUACUUAAAAAGAUAAUUGUAAUAUAUAGAACUGUAUGUAACCUUGUUCUGUAUUUCCA